AUGUCGGAACAAGGUUUCCGUAGGUGAACCUGCGGAAGGAUCAUUAACACCUAUCCAAACGUUAAAGCCUCCCCCGUGAACAUUGAUUCCUGCUCUUGUAACCCGCGAAGCUUGCAAUCUUGGUAAAUCAUAGCCCGGAAAGUAGUUUUGAUUCAGAGACCUCUGGCCCGUGCGAAAAUUGGAACAGUUACAAUUCGAGCGGUAGUUCUAUAGGCCUUGUUUCCCCAAGCAGUCAGUGUCUGAAAGUGUCAGUGAUUGUGCAAGGAUAACGCUUCACGAUUCUUGUAGACCGCAUCUCGCGGGCAGGAGCUAGGCCAAAGGGUCCCCAUGCCCCCUUACAACCCCACAGUUAAAUGUGAAGCUCAAUGUAAUACAUUGGGUAAAAAACCGAACAACUGUUAACAAUGGAUAUCUUGGUUCUC
Molecule: unclassified non-coding RNA, 422 nt
Filed under: fungal sp.
Lineage: Eukaryota; Fungi
Description: partial internal transcribed spacer region
Rfam family: Eukaryotic small subunit ribosomal RNA (bases 1-46)
Source: RNAcentral